ACUCCUACGGGAGGCAGCAGUAGGGAAUCUUCCACAAUGGGCGCAAGCCUGAUGGAGCAACACCGCGUGAGUGAAGAAGGGUUUCGGCUCGUAAAGCUCUGUUGUUAAAGAAGAACACGUAUGAGAGUAACUGUUCAUACGUUGACGGUAUUUAACCAGAAAGUCACGGCUAACUACGUGCCAGCAGCCGCGGUAAUACGUAGGUGGCAAGCGUUAUCCGGAUUUAUUGAGCGUAAAGAGAGUGCAGGCGGUUUUCUAAGUCUGAUGUGAAAGCCUUCGGCUUAACCGGAGAAGUGCAUCGGAAACUGGAUAACUUGAGUGCAGAAGAGGGUAGUGGAACUCCAUGUGUAGCGGUGGAAUGCGUAGAUAUAUGGAAGAACACCAGUGGCGAAGGCGGCUACCUGGUCUGCAACUGACGCUGAGACUCGAAAGCAUGGGUAGCGAACAGGAUUAGAUACCCUGGUAGGAUAGCGUAGUCGUAGGAACAAGGCACACAGGGGGAUA
Molecule: ribosomal RNA, 504 nt
Filed under: uncultured bacterium
Lineage: Bacteria
Description: bacterial SSU rRNA
Rfam family: Bacterial small subunit ribosomal RNA
Source: RNAcentral